This 447-nucleotide ribosomal RNA is filed under the name uncultured bacterium. RNAcentral describes it as "bacterial SSU rRNA". It matches the Rfam family "Bacterial small subunit ribosomal RNA", at positions 330 to 793 of the family's 1533-position model. The record is from RNAcentral.
UCCAGACUCCUACGGGAGGCAGCAGUGGGGAAUAUUGCACAAUGGGGGAAACCCUGUUGCAGCGACGCCGCGUGAGCGAAGAAGUAUUUCGGUAUGUAAAGCUCUAUCAGCAGGGAAGAAAAAAGACGGUACCUGACUAAGAAGCCCCGGCUAACUACGUGCCAGCAGCCGCGGUAAUACGUAGGGGGCAAGCGUUAUCCGGAUUUACUGGGUGUAAAGGGAGCGUAGACGGCUGUGCAAGUCUGAAGUGAAAGCCCAGGGCUCAACCCUGGGACUGCUUUGGAAACUGUGGAGCUAGAGUGCUGGAGAGGUAAGUGGAAUUCCUAGUGUAGCGGUGAAAUGCGUAGAUAUUAGGAGGAACACCGGCGGCGAAGGCGGCCUGCUGGACCGAAACUGACGUUGAGGCUCGAAAGCGUGGGGAGCGAACAGGAUUAGAUACCCUAGUAA